AAACAAAUCUUUCUUUUCUCAAUUGUAUAGUAAAAAUUUUUCUUCUAGAAAUAUGAUUCUGUUUUCCCAUAUAAGGGAAUAGCGAUAAAAAAAGUAUUUUUUACAUUCGUUCGAGAAUAUAAAAACAACUAACUAAAAUAUGGCCUUUUUUUAUGGUUGAUUUGUUGAUAACUACUACUUCGCAUGCGUAGAGUGUAAAUUUUGUUUUUAAAAACAGUCUUGGCUCUUUGUCUUUUUCAGCGUGAGAUCGUCAAGAACAUAAAGUAUUAAUUUUCCCUAUAUCAAAUGUGAUUGUCAGUGAUUAAUAAUCAAGAUUAUCAAUAUGAAAAUUUAAAAGUAUACAAAAAACCAUUUUCUUUAUGGUUAUGUUAUCCUCAUCAGUGUUCUUGGUGAAUCAGGACGAAAAAAUGGCCUCCAGAGAACAUAUGUUAAAGGAUGGCGGGCCAUCAGUGCUCACCGUCAAAUUCUCUCUUGGACAUUGUUCCCAUAAAUUCUUAUUCAUCGACUCGAUUUCCAUCGUUCUCACAACACAAACAGUAUCAAUAAAUCAAUGAAAUUCAUUUGUGAAUAAAAUAAAGUUCGUGGCUGUUCCAAAAGUGAAGAAAUUUGUGUUGGAGAUAGCGCUUAGCGACAAGCAGCAACAGAAUUGAGGACGGUGCUGUCAGCGCCAUUUGAAAAAUUGAGCGAGAAGUCCGAAUCCGGUGAUCGAGGAAGAGCCAUGUCUACGAAUGGAGAAUGGGCUCGAUUGCUUCGGUGCUUCAGUGGCAUUGCUCGGAGUGCUCUCUGAUAAAUCCGACCGAAAGCGCGCAAUGCGCCAGGUGCGGAUUAUCCCGAGUCCGAAGUGAUCAAUUUCAAACAUGGCAUCAUCAAACGGCGUGCGAUUCACACGCUAAUUCACGAAAUAAUUCGAGAAACGAGGGUCGCAACGAAAUCUCCUCAUCCCGUUCCUCGAGUCCACCAACGCCUCCGCCGCGACUUCGUAAUCCUGGGAAUAAUUCACUUCCCGAAGUUCCAUUGUCCUUGAAGAAGUCGCGGCCACCCGUUCCUGCAAUUCGUCAUUCAUCACAAACUUUCCAUCCUCUCAGUAAGGAGAAAAAAGAAUCAAAGUCCAAUGUGAUAAAAAAGAGAUUGAGGAGUCGUUCUUGGUCGGAAACAGGGCGAGAGAUUGGUGUUCUCAAGCGUUCGCCAUCAUUGCCGUCGCUCGUCACCAAGUGGACCUGCAUUCGUUGCCUAUUACGAAACAAUCCAACAGCAACGGCAAUUUGCACUGCCUGUGGAGCGAGCUCCCAAAUUGAAACCCAUGGACGGCAAAUUGGCGCAAGAAAAUGCAAGCGACUCGAACCGAGUAAAAAUGGCAAUAGUCUAAAGCAAGUGGGACGUUUGGAUCUCGUGACAAAAGUGACAACCGGUCUCGUAACGCGUGUUCACGACAGCAGUACAAAUACACUAAAAAUAUCCACACGUCGAGAUAAUAAAUUUCAAGAAAUUCCAAGAAUGGCCCAGCUAACAGGCGAACGAACACGCAAUAAUCGCGAGGAAUGGACCCUGCCAACCGAGAGAAUAGAUCCAUCAGGAUCAUCAUACGUCGUCGACAAUGUUGAUCCCUCUCAAAGAUCACCGAAACGUCACAGUCCAUCCAUGUACGAGAGAGUUAAAUCCAAAGUCAGUCGUUCACUCUCAAACGGUUCGGUUGUGCAAAAAUUGUCCGAUAACGUCCUUUUGAGACCGACAAGUCUCCUCGUAUCCGAGCAACAUCAGGACGACGCCCUAUGGAGCUGUGAUAAUUGUACAUUGAACAAUUCUUCUGGUUUGGAGCAAUGUGAAGCUUGCGAAGCGCCAAGAAGUCCAGCGCCCUGUAGCGGUGUUGUCAUCAGCGUUCCCGUUUGGGACACACGAGCACUAACAUCAGCCGGUCCACCUUGCUAUCGACGUUCAUUCUCGGAAAUUGAUGCCGUCACAAGUAUAACACAACGGAAAGUUGUAAAUCGCAGGAGCCUGAAUGACAAGGAACCACCAGAAGUGCCACCACAUUCAGCUGCCUUCAAUUCACGACCGAAAUACUCCUACAUUGGAAUAACCGAUCCCGAUAUUCCCCCACCAUUACCAAAGAAACAGAACAAUAAAUUGAAUCAUCCACUGACAACACAACGUAUUGUUGCAUCAUCACAACAAGCCGAGGCGUCAACAACGCCCAUCGACGACAGAACUGCCAAUAGUCCUCUAAAACGUAUGUGGACAUGUCGAAAGUGUUCUUACGCCUAUAAUCCCCUAUGGUCCGGUGGUUGUGACAUUUGUGGUUCAUCACGAUCACCGCCAUCAUUAACACAGCCAUCAUUAAUCACAGUCACGAAAGAUAGUGUCAAUUCACGACAAGCGCACUCGCCAAUUGUCGUCUCUAGAGAUAGUGUACGAUAUAUUCCAUCGAGACCCACUGGUUAUUUCACUGAAUCAGAUUCCGAUGAUUUAUUAGAAUUAGGUCCUGGUUGGACAUGCAAGAAAUGUACACUAUUGAAUCCAUCAACGAAAACAACGUGCGAAGCAUGCGGUGGAUCAAAAUUGAGAAGUGUCUCACAUUUAGAUGAUCCAACAUUGAGAAAAAGUGAGAGUUGGGUUUGUCAAUCUUGUACAUUGAGAAAUCCAUUGACAGCAAUAACGUGCAAUGCCUGUAAGAAUCAAUCGUUCACUGAAACCCCACGAGAGAAUAGACUUUUGGCACAGAGGAGUCCCAGUCCUAGGCUCAAUUGUCCCACGCCUACUAGUCAAAAAGCUGUCACUCCAAGGCAUAGGAAUUCUGUCAAGAGAAAUGGAUCUGGUAUCGUUGAUAAAAAGUACAUUAGGUCCAAGGAACCCGGCAUUGCACAGUGGCAAUGCAAGUUGUGCACUUUCGAAAAUAAAAGUUCACAGGGAAAUUGUGAAAUGUGUCAGAGUUCGAAAAUUUUGUCGCAAGUGCCGAAUGACAGACCUCGACCCAGCGAGCCUGGAAAUAAUACUCUUCGAAUACAGAGACAAGAAAGUGUUGUAAUGGAAAAUUUGCGAAAAAUCGAAGAAAGAGAGGCGCUUGAAAAAUGGGAGAGAAUAGUUUUAUAUUGUAAAGAGACGAAUGAGCCAUUUGUUGACGAUUCAUUUCCCCCGGCACCAAAGUCACUCUAUUAUAAUCCAACUGACACCAAGGAUAAUCACGUGGUUCAAUGGAGAAGGCCACAUCAGAUUAAUGUCGAUUCGAGUGUUGAUUCAAGAUUGCCAUGGGCAGUUUUUCGAACACCCUUGCCAUCCGAUAUAUCGCAAGGUGUUUUAGGUAAUUGUUGGCUACUAUCGGCAUUGGCCGUACUUGCCGAGAGUGAUGAACUGGUGAAACGUGUUCUUGUAAUGCGAGAAACAUGUCCCGAGGGUGCAUAUCAAGUUCGUCUUUGUAAGGAUGGAAAAUGGACAACAGUAUUGGUUGACGAUUUAUUGCCGUGCGAUAAAAGGGGACAUCUCGUCUAUUCACAGGCAAAGAGAAAACAACUUUGGGUGCCUUUGAUUGAGAAGGCGGUGGCAAAAAUUCACGGCUGUUAUGAGGCAUUGGUGUCGGGACGUGCUAUCGAAGGAUUGGCAACAUUAACCGGAGCACCAUGCGAGAGUGUUCCCCUGCAGCCGUCGGCAUUGCCAAGUGAGGAUGAAUUGGAUAAGGAUUUAAUUUGGGCGCAAUUAUUGUCAUCGAGGCAGGCAAUGUUUUUAAUGGGAGCAAGUUGCGGUGGUGGUAAUAUGAAAGUUGAUGAGGAGGAAUAUCAACGAAAGGGACUGAGACCAAGACACGCGUAUUCGGUUCUUGAUGUUCGCGAUGUACAGGGAAUACGAUUGUUGCGCUUGAGAAAUCCUUGGGGUCAUUAUAGUUGGAAGGGCGAUUGGUCUGAUGAUAGUCCAAUUUGGACGCCGCAAUUGAGGGAAAUGCUGAUGCCACAUGGUGCUUCGGAUGGUGUUUUUUGGAUCUCGUUCGAUGAUGUUCUUCGCUAUUUUGAUUGUAUUGAUAUUUGUAAAACUAGAGUUGGAUGGAGUGAGGUGAGAUUGAGAGGGACUUUACCGCCACUUUCGUCAUUGAGGCAUUUGUCCUGUGUUCUUUUGACUGUUCUCGAGCCGACUGAAACGGAAUUCACACUCUUUCAAGAGGGUCAGAGAAAUUCGGAAAAGUCGCAACGCUCGCAAUUGGAUUUGUGUGUCGUUGUUUUUCGGACACGAUCGCCAGCAGCUCCGGAAGUGGGUCGUUUGGUGGAGCACAGUAAACGACAAGUUCGUGGUUUCGUCGGUUGUCACAAAAUGUUGGAGAGGGAUUUGUAUAUUGUCGUUUGUCUAGCUUUUAAUCAUUGGCACACGGGAAUGGAGGAUACGUCAAGUUAUCCAGAAUACGUUUUGGCUAUUCACAGUUCAAAGAGAUUGUUGGUUGAACAAAUUUCACCGCCUGCUUUUGUAUUGGCUGAUGCGAUUAUAAGUCUCACACUUGCUAAAGGACAACGACACGAGGGUAGAGAAGGAAUGACUGCCUAUUAUUUGACAAAAGGCUGGGCGGGUUUAGUCGUAAUGGUUGAGAAUCGUCACGUGAAUAAAUGGAUUCAUGUAAAAUGUGAUUGUCACGAGAGUUAUAAUGUUGUUUCAACAAGAGGACAACUGAGAACUGCCGACAGUGUUCCCCCUCUUCACAGGCAAGUAAUAAUAGUACUAACGCAACUGGAAGGAAGCGGUGGUUUCUCAAUAGCACAUCGAUUAACACAUAGAUUAGCGAAUAGUGGAAAUUUACACGAUUGGGGUCCCCCGGAUACUCAUCAUUGUCCACCGAUAGAUAUUCAAGUUGAAGGAUUGCACAGUCCACGUUUAAUAACUUGAAGAAAUUUUCUUUUGGAUUAGAAAUGAAGUGAAACCAAAGUUGACGCAAAAAAAGAUUUGAAAUUAAGCGCUCUUUUACAUGGCAACACAAUAUAGUCAAUAUCACUUCCAUUUAGAAAAUGGACGCAAGAGUAAAAUAUGAAUCAAUCUUCACAAGGUUCACAACAAGAAAACAAGUUUGAUUCAAGUAGUGAUUUGACGGAGGAAUGACGAAUCGGAAAUGACAGAGUGGACAUUGUUGAAAUUGUCCACGAAUCACGUGUCAAGGAGAGAAUAAUUCCAAAACAAGGGGAAAGAAAAGGGGGAUUUUGUGGGGUUAUUUCACCGGUGCCUGCGCGUUCUUCCUUCUUUCCGCUGUGAGUUUCCUUGGGGUAGAGAUCGUUGGACAUCAAAGGAGAGAGGCGUUAACGGCGUCGGUGUCACGUUUUCCUUCGCCGAAAACGAAUUCUCGUUUUUUUGGAAAGAAAUAUAAGAAACAAAACAUGUCGGAAGAUACAAAGAA
RNA transcript from Leptopilina heterotoma, 5359 nucleotides. It is a transcript of the gene named calpain-D-like, with no coding region annotated. Lineage: Eukaryota; Metazoa; Arthropoda; Insecta; Hymenoptera; Figitidae. The record is from RefSeq and is a predicted model, not a curated record. The transcript has 10 exons.